The sequence is a regulatory RNA element, 140 nucleotides long. It matches the Rfam family "Ribosomal protein L20 leader". Rfam says of the family: This family is a putative r-protein leader autoregulatory structure found in B. subtilis and other low-GC Gram-positive bacteria. It is located in the 5' untranslated regions of mRNAs encoding initiation factor 3 followed by ribosomal proteins L35 and L20 (infC-rpmI-rplT). A Rho-independent transcription terminator structure that is probably involved in regulation is included at the 3' end. The record is from Rfam.
GAGGAAAAGAAGAAGCACCCGCUUCUCACCUGGUUGACGCAAAUCGUGUUGUUAACAGGUUUCAUGAUUUGAUUAUUUGGAAUGAUUCUAUCUAGUCUAUCUGUGUGGGUGUUUCUAUGCAUCCACACUUUUUUAUUGAU